GAUGAAGAACGUAGCGAAAUGCGAUACGUAAUGUGAAUUGCAGAAUUCAGCGAAUCAUCGAGUCUUUGAACGCACAUUGCGCCCCCUGGUAUUCCGGGGGGCAUGCCUGUCCGAGCGUCAUUGCUGCCCUCAAGCACGGCUUGUGUGUUGGGCCUCCGUCCUCCUCCCGGGGGACGGGCCCGAAAGGCAGCGGCGGCACCGCGUCCGGUCCUCGAGCGUAUGGGGCUUCGUCACCCGCUCUUGUAGGCCCGGCCGGCGCUUGCCGACACAUCAAUCUUUUUUCCAGGUUGACCUCGGAUCAGGUAGGGAUACCCGCUGAACUAAAGCAUAUCAAUAAGCGGAGGA
RNAcentral lists this unclassified non-coding RNA (345 nucleotides) under soil metagenome. RNAcentral describes it as "partial contains 5.8S ribosomal RNA, internal transcribed spacer 2, and large subunit ribosomal RNA". The stretch from base 1 to 120 matches the Rfam family "5.8S ribosomal RNA", at positions 35 to 154 of the family's 154-position model. The record is from RNAcentral.